RNAcentral lists this small RNA (111 nucleotides) under Klebsiella pneumoniae. RNAcentral describes it as "partial RtT sRNA". It matches the Rfam family "RtT RNA", at positions 18 to 130 of the family's 130-position model. Rfam says of the family: This family represents a bacterial cis-regulatory element known as RtT RNA. The exact function of RtT is unknown although it is thought that it may be involved in changing the cellular response in relation to amino acid starvation. RNAcentral also lists the same sequence under 1 other name. Lineage: Bacteria; Pseudomonadati; Pseudomonadota; Gammaproteobacteria; Enterobacterales; Enterobacteriaceae. The record is from RNAcentral.
AACGAUUCGAACCUGCAGCAGGUUCGGGUCGAACGCAGUGAGACAACGGAGCCGCUUGCGGCGACGGCCCGAAGGGCGAGGCGAAGCCGAGUCAUCCUGCACGACCCACCA